AGGCCUUUCGGGGUACACGAGCGGCGAACGGGUGAGUAACACGUGGGUGAUCUGCCCUGCACUUCGGGAUAAGCCUGGGAAACUGGGUCUAAUACCGGAUAUGACCUCCUAUCGCAUGGUGGGUGGUGGAAAGAUUUAUCGGUGCAGGAUGGGCCCGCGGCCUAUCAGCUUGUUGGUGGGGUAAUGGCCUACCAAGGCGACGACGGGUAGCCGACCUGAGAGGGUGACCGGCCACACUGGGACUGAGACACGGCCCAGACUCCUACGGGAGGCAGCAGUGGGGAAUAUUGCACAAUGGGCGAAAGCCUGAUGCAGCGACGCCGCGUGAGGGACGACGGCCUUCGGGUUGUAAACCUCUUUCAGCAGGGACGAAGCGCAAGUGACGGUACCUGCAGAAGAAGCACCGGCUAACUACGUGCCAGCAGCCGCGGUAAUACGUAGGGUGCAAGCGUUGUCCGGAAUUACUGGGCGUAAAGAGUUCGUAGGCGGUUUGUCACGUCGUUUGUGAAAACUCACAGCUCAACUGUGAGCCUGCAGGCGAUACGGGCAGACUUGAGUACUGCAGGGGAGACUGGAAUUCCUGGUGUAGCGGUGAAAUGCGCAGAUAUCAGGAGGAACACCGGUGGCGAAGGCGGGUCUCUGGGCAGUAACUGACGCUGAGGAACGAAAGCGUGGGUAGCGAACAGGAUUAGAUACCCUGGUAGUCCACGCCGUAAACGGUGGGCGCUAGGUGUGGGUUCCUUCCACGGAAUCCGUGCCGUAGCUAACGCAUUAA
This 775-nucleotide ribosomal RNA is filed under the name Rhodococcus sp. UA-G034. Its description in RNAcentral is "bacterial SSU rRNA". It matches the Rfam family "Bacterial small subunit ribosomal RNA", at positions 73 to 863 of the family's 1533-position model. The record is from RNAcentral. Lineage: Bacteria; Bacillati; Actinomycetota; Actinomycetes; Mycobacteriales; Nocardiaceae.